Long non-coding RNA from Balaenoptera acutorostrata (minke whale), 3598 nucleotides. RefSeq lists it as uncharacterized. The transcript is spliced from 5 exons. The record is from RefSeq and is a predicted model, not a curated record. NCBI's taxonomy places the organism in Eukaryota, Metazoa, Chordata, Mammalia, Artiodactyla, Balaenopteridae.
UAGCCCUUACCCAUCUAAGCAACUUUCCAUGCAAGUCAUCAAAAUUCACCCUGAUUUUCCCAAAUAGCAGAGGGAAUUUGAUUCCUUUCAAUGUUGAAACCACUUUGGUGUCACUAGAUCUCUCAUUUCCCCUCCAAUCCAUCAGUGAACUUUGGAGCCUUCUCAAGAUUUUGAUCCAAUGCUAAGGAUGGAGUCCAACCUGUCAGUCCUGUGACACUUCCUUGAUUUACGGUUGUGGUGUUUUUCAAAUAAGGGCAGCAGAUUCUCAAGCUUUAUUGAGAAAUGUUCAGAGAUGAGUAGAAAGUGUUUUGAAAUCAGAAAAAGAAGAUGUGCGUCAGUGCUUAUCUGCCACAGCAAGGAGACCUCCUUUGUUUAAAGGCCAGCCAAGUAUUGUCUUUGGAUCUUCAUGUACGCAUCUCAGUGACAUAAAUGGGAGUGUCAGGAUGAAAUCCUUCCAGACCUGGAGACCUCAUAUGCUGGAUUUUUUAGACCUUGAUAUGAGAAUAAUUUCCAGGCUUAGAAUCAGAUGUAAUGAGAAUGAAAUAGUUUUCUAAAACCUUCAAAUCUAAUUUAAUCAGGGAUUGUUGCUGUGCCCACUGGACUUUAUGGCUUGGCUGAUUUUAUAAUACCCAGCUCACAAUGGGCAGCUCUGGCCCCAUAGUCAUCUGGUAUCGCAGAGAUGAGGUGUUGAAAGUGGUCACCGAGAAGACGUGACUGCCGGUUGACCCCCGAGCUGCACCUGGGCAAUCAGAGGUUCCCCACCCCCUCCCCUGUCCUCAGAAUGUAUGUUCUGCCCAUCAUUCCCACAGUGGGAGCCAAUUUCAAGGAUGGACCCUUGAGAGAGCAAUGUGUUGUUAAGACCAUCUGGACAGUAUAUGUGACUGAACCCUAUUAAGACCUCUAUAUGUUUUUAAGAUUCUGGCAGGCGGGUGUGGAAAUUUACUCUUCUUGUGGCCGUGCAAGACAAGUCUUCAUGUAGUUCCUGCACUGGUGUGCUUUUGUGAUGCAAGAGGGAAAGAAAAGAGAGAAAAGAUCAAGAGGCGGGAGCCAAGGAUCAACAAGGGGUCCCUCUGCCACAUUUCCCAGGGGAGCUGAAGACGGGGAGUUAAGAGAAGUUGUAUGUGAGGAAAGAGGACUUAAAGAAGGAUAGUUGUGGAAUCCCAUCAGGAUAUUCAAUCAGUUUGCGUAAAAAAAAGAGAACUUAUUUUGAAAUUAACUUUUAUUUGCUCAUCUGCUCUUUUGAUAGAAGCUCUCCAAACUACACUAGGUCUUAGGAAAAUAGUACCUACUGCAUUCUCUACUAGCUUCUGCUUCAAGUUUUUCAUUAGUGAUUUUUUUCAUCUUAUAUCUUAGACAUUUUAUCACUUGGCUUGAGUGAUAGUUUGUAUUUUUACAUCAAUAAUGUUAAUUAAUAAUCAUUUCAUUAUGUUAUAAAUAAUAUUAAUUAUUAACAUUAAUUAUUAACAUUUCCUAGACAGAUAAGAGGCAGUUUGGGUAGUAUAGUCAUUUUCACAAUGUUGAUUCUUCCAAUCCAAGAACAUGGUAUAUCUCUCCAUCUGUUUUUAUCAUCUUUAACUUCUUUUGUCAGUGUCUUAUAGUUUUCUGGAUACAGGUCUUUUGUCUUCUUAGGUAGGUUUAUUCUUAGGUAUUUUAUUCUUUUUGUUGCAAUGGUAAAUGGGAGUGUUUCCUUAAUUUCUCUUUCAGGUUUUUCGUCAUUAGUGUAUAGUAAUGUAAGAGAUUUCUGUGCAUUAAUUUUGUAUCCUGCUACUUUACCAAAUUCAUUGAUUAGCUCUAGUAGUUUUCUGGUACCAUCUUUAGGAUUCUCUUUAUAUAGUAUCAUGUCAUCUACAAACAGUGACAGUUUUACUUCUUUUCCAAUUUGGAUUCCUUUUAUUUCUUUUUCAUCUCUGAUUGCUGUGGCUAAAACUUCCAAAACUAUGUUGAAUAAUAGUGGUGAGAGUACUAUACUACCCAAAGUAAUCUACAGAUUCAAUGUAAUCCCUAUCAAACUACCAAUGGCAUUUUUCACAGAACUAGAACAAAAUAUUUCACAAUUUGUAUGGAAACACAAAAGACCCCAAAUAGCCAAAGCAAACUUGAGAAAGAAAAAUGGAGCUGGAGGAAUCAGGCUUCCUGACUUCAGACUAUCCUACAAAGCUACAAUAAUCAAGACAGUAUGGUACUGGCACAAAAACAUAAAUAUAGAUCAAUGGAACAGGAUAGAAAGCCCAGAGAUAAACCCAUGCACAUAUGGUCACCUUAUCUUUGACAAAGAAGGCAAGAAUAUACAAUGGAGAAAAGACAGCCUCUUCAAUAAGUGGUGCUGGGAAAACUGGACAGCUACAUGUAAAAGAAUGAAAUUAGAACACUCCCUAACACCAUACACAAAAAUAAACUCAAAAUGGAUUGAAGACCUAAAUAUAAGUCCAGACACUAUAACUCUUAGAGGAAAACAUAAGAAGAACCCUCUUUGACAUAAAUCACAGCAAGACCCUUUUUGACCCACCUCCUAGAGAAAUGGAAAUAAAAACAAAAAUAAAGAAAUGGGACCUAAUGAAACUUAAAACCUUUUGCACAGCAAAGGAAAACAUAAACAAGACGAAAAGACAACUCCCAGAAUGGGAGAAAAUAUUUGAAAAUGAAGCAAGUGACAAAUGAUUAAUCUCCAAAAUAUACAAGCAGCUCAUGCAGCUCAAUAUCAAAAAAAAAACAACCCAAUCCAAAAAUGGGCAGAAGAUCUAAAUAGACAUUUCUCCAAAGCAGACAUACAGAUUGCCAACAAACACAUGAAAGGAUGCUCAACAUCACUAAUCAUUAGAGAAAUGCAAAUCAAAACUACAAUGAGGUAUCACCUCACACCAGUCAGAAUGACCAUCAUCAAAAAAUCUACCAACAACAAAUGCUGGAGAUGGUGUGGAGAAAAGGGAACCUUCUUGCACUGUUGGUGGGAAUGUAAGUUGAUACAGCCACUAUGGAGAGCAGUAUGGAGGUUCCUUAAAAAACUAAAAAUAGAACUACCAUAUGACCCAGCAAUCCCACUACUGGGCAUAUACCCUGAGAAAACCAUAAUUCAAAAAGAGACAUGUACCACAAUGUUCAUUGCAGCACUAUUUCCAAUAGCCAGGACAUGGAAGCCACCUAAGUAUCCAUCGACAGAUGAAUGAAUAAAGAAGAUGUGGCACAUAUAUACAAUGGAAUAUUACUCAGCCAUAAAAAGAAACGAAAUUGAGUUAUUUGUGGUGAGGUGGAUGGACCUAGAGUCCGUCAUACAGAGUGAAGUAAGUCAGAAAAAGAAAAAUAAACACCAUAUGCUAACACAUAUGUAUGGAAUCUAAAAAAAAAAGGUUCUUAUGAACCUAAGGGCAGGACAGGAAUUAAGACACAGACUUAGAGAAUGGACUUGAAGACACAGGGAGGGGGGAAGUGUAAGCUGGGACGAAGUAAGAGAGCAGCAUUGACAUAUAUACACUACCCAAUGUAAAAUAGAUAGCUACUGGGAAGCAGCUGCAUGGCACGGGGAGAUCAGCUCGGUGUUUUGUGACCACCUAGAGGGGUGGGAUAGGGAGGGUGUGAGGGAGACUCAAGAGGGAGGGGAUAU